AAGAGCUGUUUGGUUGGAUAUAAUUCUAAGAAUUAAUUUCAUACAGAUUCCUAUCCAUAUGUUGGAUAGUAAAUAUAUCCCUACAAAGUUCAACUUUCAUAUAUUAUUUCUACAAAAGUCUAAAUGUUUUCAAAUAUGUCCCUGCGGUUAGAAUCCGUUAGAAAAAUUUAGUUAACCAUAGAUUUAAUACUUAACCCUGCUUAGUUUUUGUCAAUUUUACCCCUCUUAUAUUAUAUUGUUAUGACUUUUGGAGGGGCAUAUUUGUGAUGGCAAAAUUAAAAAUAUAAACGUUUAUUUAAUCAUUCUCUAACGGUAACAAACCAGAGGGAUAUAUUUGAAAAUAUUAAAACUUUUGUAUGUACAAUAUGGGCAUGUUUGUUUCACCGAAACUAGACUUUGGGUUGAAGUGGAGUUUGGUGAAAACUGUAUCUUCCCCGUUGUUUGUUUCGUAGUUAUGCAAGUAAAGUUUUAUUAGUUCUGCUGUUUAUUUAAUAGGAAGUGUAUGAUGUAAAGCUAUAAUUUAUGUACAAAUAAUAAAUAAUUUAAUAAAUAAAAAUAAUAUAAUUAUAUUUUUAUAUAAUUAAAAUUUAAUUUAAAAUAACUAUAUUAUUUUUUUAUACAUAAAUUAUAGUAAUACAACAAUAAAAUUACAAAGUAAAAAAAUAUUAAUACUUAAUUAAUUAAUUUUUAUCAUAUUUUAAUUGUACAAAUUAAAUAAAAAAAAAUUAAAAUUUAACUAAUCAAUUUUUACCAUAUUUUAAAUAUGUCAAUUGAAUAAAAGAUUAAUUAGUACCAUAAUUAAAUAUAUUUAAAUUUAAAUAUAACUAUUUUUAUCUAGUAUAUUAUUUUAUUUUAUUUUUUUCACCUCUCUUCACCGUAAUUAACUUCUGCCCAUCUUGGGCCAAAGUUUAUUACACCGUUUCAGAUUAACUCGAGUUUCGACCGUAACUUAUUUACGGUAAAACAAACAACGAAAGUGAUCAUUUACAGCGAAAGCGACUUCCCUACUUUCCACUUUCACCUCACUUCCACCCAAACAAACAUGCCCUAUAUAAAAGUUGCACUUUAUAAGAAUAUAUUUGUCAUUCAUUAUAUUUGCAAGGACCUGUAAGAAAUUAACCUUAAUUCUAAAUACAAUAUAGUUAAAAAUAUAUGCAGUUGAAAAUAUAGUAAAUACAACAAUAUGUAUCUUAUUUAGUUUGAUGUAGUAAAAAUCGUUGUAGCAAUAAAUAAUUAGUAUGGCUGCAUAUGGCUAUGAACUUGUAUUUAUAAAUUUUAUCUCUUUAUAU
RNAcentral lists this long non-coding RNA (1289 nucleotides) under Ananas comosus (pineapple). RNAcentral describes it as "long non-coding RNA (ACOM_LNC005901)". The record is from RNAcentral. Lineage: Eukaryota; Viridiplantae; Streptophyta; Magnoliopsida; Poales; Bromeliaceae.